Gasterosteus aculeatus aculeatus (three-spined stickleback) is the source of this 1000-nucleotide long non-coding RNA. The record is from Ensembl. Lineage: Eukaryota; Metazoa; Chordata; Actinopteri; Perciformes; Gasterosteidae.
CAAAAUUAAUUUGUAACCUCCACUUAUUUAUCCAUUCCUCCAACCUUACAUUAUCUUACUGCUGGGUGCAGGAGACACAAGGUCAUUUACGUUUUAGAUGAUGAAGAACUGUGAGUCUGCAUGUCUCAGUGAGACACCUGGUGCUUGUAAGCAAUAUUUACUUAACAAUAUUAAGACUUAAAGAUAGAGGGAACUUAAAGCCGAUCGAUGCUACAGCAACUUUGAACAAAACUGAUGAUGACCAGAGGGAUUUUAACUAUUACUGCCAUCAUAUACAUCUGAUAGUUGUUACAUCUGAUGGUUGUUACAUCUGAUGGUUGUUACAUCUGAUGGAGGUUACAUCUGAUGGUUGUUACAUCUGAUGGAGGUUACAUCUGAUGGUUGUUACAUCUGAUGGAGGUUACAUCUGAUGGUUGUUACAUCUGAUGGUUGUUACAUCUGAUGGAGGUUACAUCUGAUGGUUGUUACAUCUGAUGGUUGUUACAUCUGAUGGUGGAAUUUUAAGAUUAUUUUACUUACUUUACUUAUUUAACAAAUUUGACUAUCAUUGAAUGUGCCAUUGACCAUCUUUCAACCUUUAUUUUGUUAAUUUUACAGAAUAAAAAAACAGGUCAGAAAUAUAAUAAUAUAGUGGGAUGAUUGUGAAACGUGCUGUCCUCCAGAGGAUAAACCCCAUGAAGGGUCAGUCAUCAUUUAUCAGUUUAUUCAUGCCUCUGAAUCCAUCUCCUCUCCCUGCCGCUCUCACCUCCUGCUUCUUCUCCCGCUAAUGGAGGUUAAUGGUUCAGUAAUCUGUGUUGAGGGACUUUAAGGUCACAGAUUCACAUACAAAUGACAUUUAGAAACAAUUACAUCCAAUUGAGUCAAUAAUGAGCUAUUAAUCGACACAGAAAGAAUAUGUAUUGAAGAAAUCAUGAUUAUAAUUUCAUAAUUCCCUUUCACAUAUCAGUCAUUAAAUAUUAGAGACAUUUUUACUGUAUGUAUAUAUAUCAUAUAUAUUUAU